Molecule: ribosomal RNA, 465 nt
Filed under: uncultured bacterium
Lineage: Bacteria
Description: partial 16S ribosomal RNA
Rfam family: Bacterial small subunit ribosomal RNA
Source: RNAcentral
CCUACGGGGGGCAGCAGUGGGGAAUAUUGCGCAAUGGGCGAAAGCCUGACGCAGCGACGCCGCGUGAGGGAUGAAGGUCUUCGGAUCGUAAACCUCUGUCAGCAGGGAAGAACGGUCACUGUGCUAAUCAGCAGUGAAUUGACGGUACCUGCAAAGGAAGCACCGGCUAACUCAGUGCCAGCAGCCGCGGUAAUACGGAGGGUGCGAGCGUUAAUCGGAAUUACUGGGCGUAAAGCGCUCGUAGGCGGUAUGUCAAGUCAAGGGUGAAAUCCCCGCGCUCAACGUGGGAACUGCCUUUGAAACUGGCAAACUGGAGUGUGUGAGAGGAUAGUGGAAUUCCAGGUGUAGGGGUGAAAUGCGUAGAUAUAUGGAGGAACAUCAGUGGCGAAGGCGACUAUCUGGCACAUAACUGACGCUGAGGAGCGAAAGCGUGGGUAGCAAACAGGAUUAGAUACACUUGUAGUC